This 2531-nucleotide long non-coding RNA is filed under the name Mus musculus (house mouse). RNAcentral's name for it is "long non-coding RNA chr11:29505419-29507950". Lineage: Eukaryota; Metazoa; Chordata; Mammalia; Rodentia; Muridae. The record is from RNAcentral.
UUCUUGGUGCUGUUCCUUUCCCGAUAAAUGCAAUAGCUUAACUACUUCCCCUUUAUUUUUUUGGUAUCCUUAACACAAAUUUUUCCAGUUUUUUUUUUAAACAUAUGAGUCAAAGAGAAAUAAACCAAGUUACUUAUUACCUUGGGAAUUUGUAUUUUUACUUCAAUUCAGAAGAAUAGCAAGGUUUUUAAAUGAUGAAAAAAAUUAACUUCUGUCAUUAAUUUAUUACUAAAUGUAAAUCCUUAAUGCAAACUUUUUAAAAAUUAAUACAUUGCGCUAGAGUAUAAAAUUAGAACUUGUGAGCAUAAAAAUGAAAAAUACACUAUGUAGUCUUUAUUCUAAAAUCUGUUGUAUUAAAAACAUAGUCUUGCCUGGUGUAUGCCUUUAACCCUGGCAGUUUGGGAGGCAGAGGUGAGUGGUUCUCUGAGUUCCAGGCCAGCCAGCGCUGUGAACUGGGACCCCGUCUCAAAAAGUUCAAACAAAAAGAAAACAAAACAAGCAAAAAUAGAAAAAUAGUCUUUAGCUCCCCACGCUCUCAAACAGUACACACACACAAACGCACACACACACACACACACACACACACACACGACAAAGAUACUAUCCAUAAACAUGGACUCCAAUGUCAUAUAGUUUUCAAUUAUCUUUCUGUGUUCAUGUCAAUCUACACCAAAUCAGCUUUAAUUCCUCAGCAUUAAAAAAAUCUAUAAUCUUAUUUCUGCAGGAUAUUUAGCUGUUUCAGGAAUGUUUUAAUAAUUUUGAUUCAGCCUAAAUAUUACUGAUAAAACUCCGCCUUAGGUAGGUGCCAUAAGAAGCUCUAUGAGUGAAGGGAUUAGUGCUUGUGUACUUAACCUCGCUGAGCUGUCAUUAAUACCAGACAAAAGGGAAAAUCUUCAGUCUUUGCCUGACUAAAAAUCUCUCCCCUGGUACAUUCCCAGGAUCACCUUACAGAUAGAUCCCUUUUGUUUAUAUUGCUGACCAUAUGUUUCUUUCCUUACAGCUAUUCUUAAAAUAGUUCUGAGACAAGUGAUCAGAUGAACCCAAGCGGUAUUUUACAUAUUUUAGUACCACCUAAUAGGCUUACUGCAUGAAUAUAUCAUUACCUUAUACUAUGAAUUUUUUGUCUAGUCAGUCUUAAUACUUCAGACAUUUUUGUGCUGUUUUCCCUUUUGUUCAUAGCCUACUAAUAAAUGGUAAGCUGAGACUGAUGCAGCACAAAGACAGAAAUGCUUUACUUAGCUUUGGACAUCAUGAAACAAACCUUAUACUUUCUACACUUAAAAAAUGUUGCUAAUUUUGUUAAUUUAAAGUAUAUUUUAAAUUAUGUGUUUUAUAAAAGCUAUAUUGUCUUAUUUUAUGAAAACAGACUUACAGAAGUAUUCUGUCUCUAAUGUCUAAAGGAUACAUUGCAUGUAAGAGAGGUAAAUACUAUGUCCAUAUUUCCUGUGGGCUAAGAUUGUAGUGUAGAAUUCUUCCAAAUACAGCACAUACUAUGGAGUCAAAGUUUCCUCAAACACCACUAAUACUAUGUUGCUUAUGACUUUAAAAUAUAAAAAAAUAGGUUCCAUGUAAAACGUCUGUCAGAUUAAUUUUCCACGUUUCAAAUUCCUUUGUUCAACUCAGCUUUAAGAGCUUUUUAGUUUAUCUUCAUGAAUUUUGUUACUAAACUUUUGAGUAAAUAACAUGAACUACUUUUCUCCCACAGAUGUGAACAAAGUACAAGAGAGCAGAAAUUCAAAAAGCAGGUCUAGGGAGCAACAAAGCUCCUAAUUCAGUGACCCACUGCAUGACAUGUGGGCCUGGGGUGAGUUUGCUGCUUGAACCCUAAGUGAGACGAGUCUCAUCUGUACAGACUAACAGAAUUAAGUAUAACGAGUGCACAUGGCACUAACAGUUACAUUUCGCUUGCUGGACUCACUGACUUUCCUUCCUGCUUAAUUAGUAAAGAGUAGUUGACUACCAUAGGUUUUUGCCUGUCUAAUUGGGUAGCAAGCCUUUAAAAAGUAUUUUCUCUCAAUUGAAAUGUAAUUUUAGCAGUGAGUAAUCUAAAAUAUUUCAUGCGGUUACAACCUCUAAGUAACUGGUAAGAAUGCACUAAAUACCUGUCUUACAAAGAACAGCUCAGACGUUCCCUCUGGCUUUCUGUCACUCUCAUUUCCAUAUAAACACCUGUGCAUGUUGUUCUUGCCGUAGCUUCCCUGUAGUUUAUAUUCCUCUUAUCUUCAAGCUAUUCUUACAUUUUCUUUCUUCUUUUCUGUCUUUCAACAAAAUACAGAGAGAAAAGUGUCCUUCAGUUUCUCAGUGUGAAGACUUUAUUUCUGAAGUAACAAGACACCUAGCAACUAUAGGAACUAUUAAAAACAGUAAGGAGAUUUUAACACAUCCCUUCGUGAUUAGAGCAGGGAAGAGAUAUAAACUUCAUUCUUCCUUGAAUCAAGGAGCACUACUGGAUUCAGCUGCCAAAAGUUUUAGAAGGUUUUAGGACACUGUACAGUGCACUAAGCUCUACUGAAUAAAGGACAUUCUCUCAC